RNAcentral lists this long non-coding RNA (586 nucleotides) under Parus major (Great Tit). RNAcentral describes it as "lncRNA (ENSPMJG00000002447.1)". Lineage: Eukaryota; Metazoa; Chordata; Aves; Passeriformes; Paridae. The record is from RNAcentral.
GGGUGACCCACGGAGUGACCCACAGCGACCCACGGGUGACCCACGGAGUGACCCACGGAGUGACCCAUGGAGUGACCCACAGCGCCCCACAGCCAACCAGAGUGACCCACAGCGACCCACGAGUGACCCACGGAGCCCCACCAGUGACCCACGGAGCCCCAGCAGUGACCCAUGGAGUGACCCACGGAGCCCCAGCAGUGACCCCCAGCGUCCGGCGCUGCCCCAGAGUGACCCACAGAGCUCCACGGUGCCCCACAGGGGGACCCUGCAGUGACCCCCGGCCCUGCGGCCCCACAGCGGAGCCGGCAGUGGGGCAGGGACUGACCCCCAAGUGCGGGGAAACUGAGGCACGAGUGGGGCAGGAACUGACCCCCAAGUGGGGGGAAACUGAGGCACGAGUGGGGUCUGGACUGACCCAUAAGUGGGAACAAAGUGACCCCCAAGUGGGGCCUGAACUGACCCCUAAAUGGGGGGAAACUGAGGCACGAGUGGGGCAGGGACCGACCCCCAAUUGGGGGGAAACUGAGGCACGAGUGGGGCCGGGAGUGCCCCACAGCCCCCCCUUUGUGCCCCAUAGCGGGACCAG